AACUUGCAGUGACUCCCCAGUGUUUACCAGAUCAGACCCAGACUCUUCCUUUCAGUUUUCAACUACGUGGAUUUUUCUCGUACACAAGCUUUCAGAUCUCCUUUUGGCCCUCAUCUGGUUCUUGCAUCUUCGUGCUGUGGGUUGCUUGCCAUGCCUGCCCAUCUGUGGUGGCUUGUCUCCAAAGAUGGCUGCCAUCAGUUUCUUCUCCUCAGUGUACACCUGCCACUCCCCCACUGAGAGCUGGAGUCUGUUGCUCUGCCCCCGUGAACCUGGGCGGGCCUGUGACUAAUUUCACUAAUAGACUAUGGUGGCAGUGACACUGUGCCAAUUCUGGGCCUACUCUUUAAAAGGGCAGGCAGGAGUUCCCAUUGUGGCACAGCAGAAAAGAAUCUGACUAGGAACCAUGAAGUUGCGGGUUUGAUCCCUGACCUUGCUCAAUGGGUUAAGGAUCUGGUGUUGCCGUGAGCUGUGGUGUAGGUCGCAGAUGUGGCUUAGAUUCCGCAUUGCUGUGGCUGUGGCAUAGGCUGGCAGCUGUAGCUCCGAAUGGACUCCUAGCCUAGGAACCUCCAUGUGCCACAGGCGUGGCGCUAAAAAGCAAAAAAAAAGAAAACAACUAGCCCAGCAGAGCCUUGAGGGCCCCCCAGUCUCAGCUGCUUCCUGACUAACCACAUGAGCCAUCUCAGGCAGGACCAUUCAGUUGAGUACAGUCAGCUACAGAACCAAGAGAUAACAAUAGUAGUUUUAAGCCACUAAGUUUUGGGGUGGUUUGCUCUAUAGCAAUACAUACCCUAAAUACCACCCUUUAAGGCCUCAAACCUAGAUUUCCUGUAGUCUAGUUGACAUCUGUCCAUCCCUUCUCUAAUUCCCAUAGAACUUCUCAGUUCCACACAUUUUGUUAUUCAACUGUACGUACUAUUUUCCACUUCCUGUGUGCUAAUCUGGCCUCCAUGACCAAUUCUAUGACCUUUGAAGAUACCAAUAAUGGAAAUACGACUUUUGCAGUCCUGUCAGCAAGUCCCAAUACUGGACAAAAUCGUAAUUAAUAAGCCAAAGCAUUCUUGGUCCUUUGAGCUCUCCGCCAACUGUAUCAGUUGCGACUCUUUUCGCUAUCUUUUGGAGCAUUCUUUUAAGUCUUGGUUAUGGCUGGAUGGCUGAUGUGUGGCUGCAGGCAGCCCUUGCAUCCUUCCACCUGGAGACAGUCUGUGAUAGCACAGUGGUUCUCCAAGUCUGGUCCCAGAUCAGCAGCAUCACCAUCGCCUGGGAACCUGCUAGAAAUUCGGAUUCUUGGGCCUACCCCAGAACCUAUGAAAUUUAAAGUUCUGGGGGUAGGGCCCAGCACUCUGUGUUUUAACAAGAUUUCCAGAUAAUUCUGAUGCAUGCUGAAGUAUGAGCAUCCCUUUUGUAUUGGAAAGAAUUCUGGUUUUAAGGUCUAGGAUUCUUUCAUUAAAUGACAUUUACUAAAUGUGCAUCUGCUUGUGCCAGGUGUUGUGUCAGAGGCUGGGAUACUAGGAUGGCUACAGGUUCAUCUCUGCCCUUGUGGGUUGAGGAAGAGUGGCUGCAAUAUUUACAUACAUAUAAAUGUGAUCUACCGCAAAUUACCUGUGCAAGACCUGAGCACAGAACAAGACAGUCCCAAUUUUUACCUUCACUUUUCUAUUUAAGAAUCAGAUGC
RNAcentral lists this long non-coding RNA (1672 nucleotides) under Sus scrofa (pig). Its description in RNAcentral is "lncRNA (multiple genes)". The record is from RNAcentral. Lineage: Eukaryota; Metazoa; Chordata; Mammalia; Artiodactyla; Suidae.